GACGUAGGGCGCGAGCGUUGUCCGGAUUUAUUGGGCGUAAAGAGCUCGUAGGCGGCUUGUCGCGUCGAAUGUGAAAUCUCAGGGCUCAACUCUGACAUUGCAUUCGAUACGGGCAGGCUAGAGUUCGGUAGGGGAGACUGGAAUUCCUGGUGUAGCGGUGAAAUGCGCAGAUAUCGGGAGGAACACCAGUGGCGAAGGCGGCGACCUGGGCCAAUACUGACACUGAGGUGCGAAAGCGUGGGGAGCAAACAGG
This 253-nucleotide ribosomal RNA is filed under the name uncultured bacterium. RNAcentral describes it as "partial 16S ribosomal RNA". It matches the Rfam family "Bacterial small subunit ribosomal RNA", at positions 524 to 776 of the family's 1533-position model. The record is from RNAcentral.